GCCCAUGUAGCUCAACUGGUAGAGCGACGCACUCGUAACGCGUAGGUUGCCGGUUCAAGACCGACCAUGGGCU
RNAcentral lists this transfer RNA (73 nucleotides) under Parcubacteria group bacterium. Its description in RNAcentral is "tRNA-Thr". It matches the Rfam family "tRNA". From Rfam's summary of the family: Transfer RNA (tRNA) molecules are approximately 80 nucleotides in length. The record is from RNAcentral. RNAcentral also lists the same sequence under 1 other name.